This 3008-nucleotide ribosomal RNA is filed under the name Salmonella enterica subsp. enterica serovar Typhimurium. RNAcentral's name for it is "23S ribosomal RNA". It matches the Rfam family "Bacterial large subunit ribosomal RNA". The record is from RNAcentral. Lineage: Bacteria; Pseudomonadati; Pseudomonadota; Gammaproteobacteria; Enterobacterales; Enterobacteriaceae.
GGUUAAGCGACUAAGCGUACACGGUGGAUGCCCUGGCAGUCAGAGGCGAUGAAGGGCGUGCUAAUCUGCGAUAAGCGCCGGUAAGGUGAUAUGAACCGUUAUAACCGGCGAUACCCGAAUGGGGAAACCCAGUGUGACUCGUCACACUAUCAUUAACUGAAUCCAUAGGUUAAUGAGGCGAACCGGGGGAACUGAAACAUCUAAGUACCCCGAGGAAAAGAAAUCAACCGAGAUUCCCCCAGUAGCGGCGAGCGAACGGGGAGGAGCCCAGAGCCUGAAUCAGCAUGUGUGUUAGUGGAAGCGUCUGGAAAGGCGCGCGAUACAGGGUGACAGCCCCGUACACAAAAGCGCAUGUGCUGUGAGCUCGAUGAGUAGGGCGGGACACGUGGUAUCCUGUCUGAAUAUGGGGGGACCAUCCUCCAAGGCUAAAUACUCCUGACUGACCGAUAGUGAACCAGUACCGUGAGGGAAAGGCGAAAAGAACCCCGGCGAGGGGAGUGAAAAAGAACCUGAAACCGUGUACGUACAAGCAGUGGGAGCCCCACCACCAAAGCAUUCUCUGGUGUUGAAGGCCCUGCAAAGCAGCAUCGCGGUGGCGGAGCGUCGUUUGCGACGCCCAACACACAAAACAAGCGGUGAAUGCUUUGGGGUGGGGUGACUGCGUACCUUUUGUAUAAUGGGUCAGCGACUUAUAUUCUGUAGCAAGGUUAACCGAAUAGGGGAGCCGGAGGGAAACCGAGUCUUAAUUGGGCGUUAAGUUGCAGGGUAUAGACCCGAAACCCGGUGAUCUAGCCAUGGGCAGGUUGAAGGUUGGGUAACACUAACUGGAGGACCGAACCGACUAAUGUUGAAAAAUUAGCGGAUGACCUGUGGCUGGGGGUGAAAGGCCAAUCAAACCGGGAGAUAGCUGGUUCUCCCCGAAAGCUAUUUAGGUAGCGCCUCGUGAAUUCAUCUCCGGGGGUAGAGCACUGUUUCGGCUAGGGGGCCAUCCCGGCUUACCAACCCGAUGCAAACUGCGAAUACCGGAGAAUGUUAUCACGGGAGACACACGGCGGGUGCUAACGUCCGUCGUGAAGAGGGAAACAACCCAGACCGCCAGCUAAGGUCCCAAAGUCAUGGUUAAGUGGGAAACGAUGUGGGAAGGCCCAGACAGCCAGGAUGUUGGCUUAGAAGCAGCCAUCAUUUAAAGAAAGCGUAAUAGCUCACUGGUCGAGUCGGCCUGCGCGGAAGAUGUAACGGGGCUAAACCAUGCACCGAAGCUGCGGCAGCGACGCUGAUGCGUUGUUGGGUAGGGGAGCGUUCUGUAAGCCUGCGAAGGUGACCUGUGAGGGUUGCUGGAGGUAUCAGAAGUGCGAAUGCUGACAUAAGUAACGAUAAAGCGGGUGAAAAGCCCGCUCGCCGGAAGACCAAGGGUUCCUGUCCAACGUUAAUCGGGGCAGGGUGAGUCGACCCCUAAGGCGAGGCCGAAAGGCGUAGUCGAUGGGAAACGGGUUAAUAUUCCCGUACUUGGUGUUACUGCGAAGGGGGGACGGAGAAGGCUAUGUUGGCCGGGCGACGGUUGUCCCGGUUUAAGCGUGUAGGUGUGUGUUCCAGGUAAAUCCGGUUCACUUUAACACUGAGGCGUGAUGACGAGGCACUACGGUGCUGAAGCAACAAAUGCCCUGCUUCCAGGAAAAGCCUCUAAGCAUCAGGUAACAUCAAAUCGUACCCCAAACCGACACAGGUGGUCAGGUAGAGAAUACCAAGGCGCUUGAGAGAACUCGGGUGAAGGAACUAGGCAAAAUGGUGCCGUAACUUCGGGAGAAGGCACGCUGACACGUAGGUGAAGUGAUUUACUCAUGGAGCUGAAGUCAGUCGAAGAUACCAGCUGGCUGCAACUGUUUAUUAAAAACACAGCACUGUGCAAACACGAAAGUGGACGUAUACGGUGUGACGCCUGCCCGGUGCCGGAAGGUUAAUUGAUGGGGUCAGCGCAAGCGAAGCUCCUGAUCGAAGCCCCGGUAAACGGCGGCCGUAACUAUAACGGUCCUAAGGUAGCGAAAUUCCUUGUCGGGUAAGUUCCGACCUGCACGAAUGGCGUAAUGAUGGCCAGGCUGUCUCCACCCGAGACUCAGUGAAAUUGAACUCGCUGUGAAGAUGCAGUGUACCCGCGGCAAGACGGAAAGACCCCGUGAACCUUUACUAUAGCUUGACACUGAACAUUGAGCCUUGAUGUGUAGGAUAGGUGGGAGGCUUUGAAGUGUGGACGCCAGUCUGCAUGGAGCCGACCUUGAAAUACCACCCUUUAAUGUUUGAUGUUCUAACGUGGACCCGUAAUCCGGGUUGCGGACAGUGUCUGGUGGGUAGUUUGACUGGGGCGGUCUCCUCCUAAAGAGUAACGGAGGAGCACGAAGGUUGGCUAAUCCUGGUCGGACAUCAGGAGGUUAGUGCAAUGGCAUAAGCCAGCUUGACUGCGAGCGUGACGGCGCGAGCAGGUGCGAAAGCAGGUCAUAGUGAUCCGGUGGUUCUGAAUGGAAGGGCCAUCGCUCAACGGAUAAAAGGUACUCCGGGGAUAACAGGCUGAUACCGCCCAAGAGUUCAUAUCGACGGCGGUGUUUGGCACCUCGAUGUCGGCUCAUCACAUCCUGGGGCUGAAGUAGGUCCCAAGGGUAUGGCUGUUCGCCAUUUAAAGUGGUACGCGAGCUGGGUUUAGAACGUCGUGAGACAGUUCGGUCCCUAUCUGCCGUGGGCGCUGGAGAACUGAGGGGGGCUGCUCCUAGUACGAGAGGACCGGAGUGGACGCAUCACUGGUGUUCGGGUUGUCAUGCCAAUGGCACUGCCCGGUAGCUAAAUGCGGAAGAGAUAAGUGCUGAAAGCAUCUAAGCACGAAACUUGCCCCGAGAUGAGUUCUCCCUGAGACUUUAGGUCUCCUGAAGGAACGUUGAAGACGACGACGUUGAUAGGCCGGGUGUGUAAGCGCAGCGAUGCGUUGAGCUAACCGGUACUAAUGAACCGUGAGGCUUAACCUU